CCUACGGGGGGCAGCAGUGGGGAAUAUUGGACAAUGGGCGAAAGCCUGAUCCAGCCAUGCCGCGUGUGUGAAGAAGGCCUUCGGGUUGUAAAGCACUUUCAGUGGGGAAGAAAGCCUUGGGGCUAAUACCCUCGAGGAAGGACAUCACCCACAGAAGAAGCACCGGCUAACUCCGUGCCAGCAGCCGCGGUAAUACGGAGGGUGCGAGCGUUAAUCGGAAUUACUGGGCGUAAAGGGGCGUAGGCGGUCUGAUAAGCCGGUUGUGAAAGCCCCGGGCUCAACCUGGGAACGGCAUCCGGAACUGUCAGGCUAGAGUGAAGGAGAGGAAGGUAGAAUUCCCGGUGUAGCGGUGAAAUGCGUAGAGAUCGGGAGGAAUACCAGUGGCGAAGGCGGCCUACUGGACUGACACUGACGCUGAGGUGCGAAAGCGUGGGUAGCAAACAGGAUUAGAUACCCUGGUAGUC
This 464-nucleotide ribosomal RNA is filed under the name Vreelandella stevensii. Its description in RNAcentral is "partial 16S ribosomal RNA". It matches the Rfam family "Bacterial small subunit ribosomal RNA", at positions 338 to 795 of the family's 1533-position model. Lineage: Bacteria; Pseudomonadati; Pseudomonadota; Gammaproteobacteria; Oceanospirillales; Halomonadaceae. The record is from RNAcentral.